This is a long non-coding RNA of Haliotis rubra (blacklip abalone), 142 nucleotides long. RefSeq lists it as uncharacterized. NCBI's taxonomy places the organism in Eukaryota, Metazoa, Mollusca, Gastropoda, Lepetellida, Haliotidae. The transcript has 3 exons. The record is from RefSeq and is a predicted model, not a curated record.
UUUGAAGAUUUUCAUAUGCUUUAUUUCUUAUGUUAUUGUGUGAGUUCAGUCAAAAUAUACCACAAAGAAGGGUGAUAAUUAUCUGAAGACACAGUAACACACAUUCACACAAAAUGUCCAGCAGAAAUGUAAUGCAUCAUAU